AUUGAACGCUGGCGGAAUGCUUUACACAUGCAAGUCGAGCGGCAGCGCGGGGGCAACCCUGGCGGCGAGCGGCGAACGGGUGAGUAAUGCAUCGGAACGUACCCAUUUGUGGGGGAUAACUGUCCGAAAGGACAGCUAAUACCGCAUAAGUCCUGAGGGAGAAAGCGGGGGAUCGCAAGACCUCGCGCGAAUGGAGCGGCCGAUGCCGGAUUAGCUAGUUGGUAGGGUAAAGGCCUACCAAGGCGACGAUCCGUAGCUGGUCUGAGAGGACGAUCAGCCACACUGGGACUGAGACACGGCCCAGACUCCUACGGGAGGCAGAAGUGGGGAAUUUUGGACAAUGGGCGAAAGCCUGAUCCAGCAAUGCCGCGUGUGUGAAGAAGGCCUUCGGGUUGUAAAGCACUUUUGUCCGGAAGGAAAUGGCUCUGGUUAAUACCUGGGGUCGAUGACGGUACCGGAAGAAUAAGGACCGGCUAACUACGUGCCAGCAGCCGCCGUAA
This 500-nucleotide ribosomal RNA is filed under the name uncultured bacterium. RNAcentral describes it as "partial 16S ribosomal RNA". It matches the Rfam family "Bacterial small subunit ribosomal RNA", at positions 29 to 523 of the family's 1533-position model. The record is from RNAcentral.